This 253-nucleotide ribosomal RNA is filed under the name uncultured bacterium. Its description in RNAcentral is "partial 16S ribosomal RNA". It matches the Rfam family "Bacterial small subunit ribosomal RNA", at positions 524 to 776 of the family's 1533-position model. The record is from RNAcentral.
UACGGAGGGUGCAAGCGUUAUCCGGGUUCACUGGGUUUAAAGGGUGCGUAGGUGGGCAAGUAAGUCAGUGGUGAAAUCUCCGGGCUUAACCCGGAAACUGCCAUUGAUACUAUUUGUCUUGAAUACUGUGGAGGUCAGCGGAAUAUGUCAUGUAGCGGUGAAAUGCUUAGAUAUGACAUAGAACACCAAUUGCGAAGGCAGCUGGCUACACAAAUAUUGACACUGAGGCACGAAAGCGUGGGGAUCAAACAGG